AACGAACGCUGGCGGCAUGCCUAAUACAUGCAAGUCGAACGAUCACUUCGGUGGUAGUGGCGCACGGGUGCGUAACGCGUGGGAAUCUGCCCUGGGGUUCGGAAUAACGUCGGGAAACUGACGCUAAUACCGGUUGAUGACGUAAGUCCAAAGAUUUAUCGCCCAGGGAUGAGCCCGCGUAGGAUUAGCUAGUUGGUGGGGUAAAGGCCUACCAAGGCGACGAUCCUUAGCUGGUCUGAGAGGAUGAUCAGCCACACUGGGACUGAGACACGGCCCAGACUCCUACGGGAGGCAGCAGUAGGGAAUAUUGGACAAUGGGGGCAACCCUGAUCCAGCAAUGCCGCGUGAGUGAUGAAGGCCUUAGGGUUGUAAAGCUCUUUUACCCGGGAUGAUAAUGACAGUACCGGGAGAAUAAGCCCCGGCUAACUCCGUGCCAGCCGCCGCGGUAA
RNAcentral lists this ribosomal RNA (449 nucleotides) under uncultured bacterium. Its description in RNAcentral is "partial 16S ribosomal RNA". It matches the Rfam family "Bacterial small subunit ribosomal RNA", at positions 29 to 523 of the family's 1533-position model. The record is from RNAcentral.